UAGCUAGUUGGUGAGGUAACGGCUUACCAAGGCGACGAUCUGUAGCGGGUCUGAGAGGAUGAUCCGCCACACUGGAACUGAGACACGGUCCAGACUCCUACGGGAGGCAGCAGUGGGGAAUUUUGGACAAUGGGGGCAACCCUGAUCCAGCCAUGCCGCGUGAGUGAAGAAGGCCUUCGGGUUGUAAAGCUCUUUCGGCCGGGAAGAAAUCGCAUGGGCCAAUACCCUGUGUGGAUGACGGUACCGGAAUAAGAAGCACCGGCUAACUACGUGCCAGCAGCCGCGGUAAUACGUAGGGUGCGAGCGUUAAUCGGAAUUACUGGGCGUAAAGCGUGCGCAGGCGGUUUUGUAAGACAGGCGUGAAAUCCCCGGGCUCAACCUGGGAACUGCGUUUGUGACUGCAAGGCUAGAGUACGGCAGAGGGGGGUGGAAUUCCACGUGUAGCAGUGAAAUGCGUAGAGAUGGGGAGGAACACCAAUGGCGAAGGCAGCCCCCUGGGUCGAUACUGACGCUCAUGCACGAAAGCGUGGGUAGCAAACAGGAUUAGAUACCCUGGUAGUCCACGCCCUAAACUAUGUCAACUAGGUGUUGGGUGGGUAAAACCAUUUAGUACCGUAGCUAACGCGUGAAGUUGACCGCCUGGGGAGUACGGCCGCAAGGUUAAAACUCAAAGGAAUUGACGGGGACCCGCACAAGCGGUGGAUGAUGUGGAUUAAUUCGAUGCAACGCGAAAAACCUUACCUACCCUUGACAUGCCAGGAACUUGCCAGAGAUGGCUUGGUGCCCGAAAGGGAGCCUGGACACAGGUGCUGCAUGGCUGUCGUCAGCUCGUGUCGUGAGAUGUUGGGUUAAGUCCCGCAACGAGCGCAACCCUUGUCGUUAAUUGCCAUCAUUUAGUUGGGCACUUUAGCGAGACUGCCGGUGACAAACCGGAGGAAGGUGGGGAUGACGUCAAGUCCUCAUGGCCCUUAUGGGUAGGGCUUCACACGUCAUACAAUGGUCGGUACAGAGGGUCGCCAAGCCGCGAGGUGGAGCCAAUCCCAGAAAGCCGAUCGUAGUCCGGAUUGCAGGCUGCAACUCGCCUGCAUGAAGUCGGAAUCGCUAAUAAUCGUGGAUCAGCAUGUCACGGUGAAUACGUUCCCGGGUCUUGUACACACCGCCCGUCACACCAUGGGAGCGGGUUCCGCCAGAAGUAGGUAGCCUAACCGCAAGGAGGGCGCUUACCACGGCGGGGUUCGUGACUGGGGUGAAGUCGUAACAAGGUAGCCGUAGGGGAACCUGCGGCUG
RNAcentral lists this ribosomal RNA (1287 nucleotides) under metagenome. RNAcentral's name for it is "bacterial SSU rRNA". It matches the Rfam family "Bacterial small subunit ribosomal RNA", at positions 242 to 1520 of the family's 1533-position model. The record is from RNAcentral.